This 776-nucleotide ribosomal RNA is filed under the name uncultured Neocallimastigales. RNAcentral describes it as "partial large subunit ribosomal RNA". It matches the Rfam family "Eukaryotic large subunit ribosomal RNA", at positions 26 to 612 of the family's 3401-position model. The record is from RNAcentral. Lineage: Eukaryota; Fungi; Neocallimastigomycota; Neocallimastigomycetes; Neocallimastigales.
CGCAUCUGUGCAUGCAGCAUAUCAAUAAGCGGAGGAAAAGAAACUAACAAGGAUUCCCUUAGUAACGGUGAGUGAAGCGGGAAGAGCUCAAAUUUGAAAUCUUCAAGGUUUUACCUUGACGAAUUGUAGUUUAAAGAAGUGUUUUCUGCUGAAGUUUUGGUAAAAGUUCUUUGGAAUAGGACAUCAUAGAGGGUGAGAAUCCCGUAUUUGACCAUUAUUUUCAGCUUUGUGAUACACUUUCAAAGAGUCGGAUUGUUUGGGAAUGCAGUCCCAAAAUGGGUGGUAAAUUUCAUCUAAAGCUAAAUAUUGGCGAGAGGACCGAUAGCGAACAAGUACCGUGAGGGAAAGAUGAAAAGAACUUUGAAAAGAGAGUUAAACAGUACGUGAAAUUGUCAAAAGGGAAGCGUUUGACACCAGUGUUGUUUUCUCGAAAAUCAAUUAAAAAUGGCUCGAUUUUGUAUUGCUGAGACCUUAAAAGCUCACUGUACAUUUUUCGUGUCUUUUUUAAUGCACUUUUCGUUUAACAAGUCAACAUCAGUUUCUUUUGUUGUAAAAGGGUCAUUGGAAGGUGGCUUUCUUUUCGGAGAAAGUGUUUAUAGCCUUUGGCCUCUGCAAUCGAAGAGACUGAGGUCUGCAGCGUAGACUCUUCGGGGUUAGAUACAUUUGUGCUAAGUUAUAGCUUUUUAUAGACAACUUGUUGACUAUAAUUAGUCUUGUAGCUUACUCGCUUAUGCUAUUUUACCUACGCUUAGGAUGUUGACGCAUGAGAUAUACGC